AUGAACCAGUCAGAUGGAUUUAGUCAAAACCUAUUAGUGUAGAUGUUCUAUUUUAAGACUCAUGAACCAAUAAAGGAUGGGCCUAACUCUGUAUGGAAACAGCAGAAAUGAUAGAGCUAUAAUAUAUCUAGCAUAAAUAGUCAUUUGAAGUUUCCCUACUGUAGUAAUACUGGAGCAAUAAACGACCGUCCUCACUGGACCGCUAAAGCAAUGAGCCAUCCAGUAUUAAGUUCAGGUUAACUCCUCUAUACAGGGGAAAUAAAGUUAGCUUCAAUUUGCUUCUGCAUGUAUAUAUAGCAACAUAUGUGAGUGCCGGGUUCAAGUAAACACGAAAC
Paramuricea clavata is the source of this 335-nucleotide non-coding RNA. NCBI's taxonomy places the organism in Eukaryota, Metazoa, Cnidaria, Anthozoa, Malacalcyonacea, Plexauridae. The record is from the annotation of a GenBank genome assembly.